GAAGAAAUAAACAAUUGCUGUUACAGCUGCUGUGCUGCAAAUUCAGGGAAGAAGGGCAACUCUCAUUGAAUGCUGGAACUAUAUGACAAGACCACCCAACCGUGCAGCCGUUUGUUUGGUAGCUACACUAAUAAAAAACUAGAUGGUGGAAAUCUGAAUGGUCACCGUGACAUUUUGAAAUGGCCUAUAUGUAUCACUCUACAAAGGAGAACCAUAAAUUGUCCAUGUUGUCUAUUCAGAAGUAGAGAUGGGACUGGUAACAAAAUGUUAAAGUUUGGAGCGCUGGAAACCUGCUGUGCAUGGAGCAUAUGGGAUCUGCUUUAGAGAGGAGCACAAUUUAAGUCAGUUCCCAACACUGAAAGGAAUAUCUCAAAGGAAGGUGACAUAGCCCAUAGAGCUGGCCCUACCAUUAGGAAGAUUAGACUGCAGAUGCUGAGUGGAACAGGGAUAUUGGUAAGGUACUGUAGGACAAGCCUAUGUGUGCCAUGCAUCAUCUAAGAUUCAAAUGCCAGUCUGGUUAUCUUAGGAGCACCAGAUUGGCUCCACCAGGGUGUUUGCCCCACACCGACCUCCCCACCACCUCACCCCUUCUUUUCCCAUUAAGCAGCAGCUACUCAGCAGUUGGGAGGUCAGGUCAGCACUCCCACCCCACUCCACCAUCCACUAAUUCUACAAGAUCUGCCACUCAGGGCCUCCUCUCAGUCCCGUCAACUAAAGUGAUUGGGUUGGUGAGGACUCGAGAGAGGGCCUUCUCUGUGGCGCCCCCCACGAUUUGGAACUCCUUCCCAAUAGAUCUUCGACAUGCCCCUUCCCUAUAUAUAUUUCGCCGGGGCCUGAAGACUUGGCUUUUCCAUCAGGCCUUUAUGAACUUGAGACUUCUAAGGUGAACUAGCUUCAGAAUUGUAUUACUGACAACUCUAA
Molecule: long non-coding RNA, 921 nt
Organism: Rhineura floridana
Lineage: Eukaryota; Metazoa; Chordata; Lepidosauria; Squamata; Rhineuridae
Exons: 3
Source: RefSeq, a predicted model, not a curated record